AGCAGCCGCGGUAAUUCCAGCUCCAAUAGCGUAUAUUAAAGUUGUUGCAGUUAAAAAGCUCGUAGUUGAAUUUUAGGCCUGACCGGACGGUCCGUCUCUGGCGAGUACUGUUCUGUUGUCGGGUCUAUCCUUCUGGUGAGUCGGUAUGCCCUUUAUUGGGUGUGUCGGGGAACCAGGACCAUUACCUUGAAAAAAUUAGAGUGUUUAAAGCGGGCUUUUGCUUGAAUAGAUUAGCAUGGAAUAAUAGAAUAGGACGUUGGUUCUAUUUUGUUGGUCUAGGACCACCGUAAUGAUUAAUAGGGAUAGUUGGGGGCAUUAGUAUUCAAUUGUCAGAGGUGAAAUUCUUGGAUUUAUUGAAGACUAACUACUGCGAAAGCAUUUGCCAAGGAUGUUUUCAUUAAUCAAGAACGAAAGUUAGGGGAUCGAAGACGAUCAGAUACCGUCGUAGUCUUAACCAUAAACUAUGCCGACUAGGAAUCGGGCGACGUUAUUUUCAUGACUCGCUCGGCGCCUUAUG
RNAcentral lists this ribosomal RNA (517 nucleotides) under uncultured Archaeospora. RNAcentral describes it as "SSU rRNA". It matches the Rfam family "Eukaryotic small subunit ribosomal RNA", at positions 569 to 1092 of the family's 1831-position model. The record is from RNAcentral. Lineage: Eukaryota; Fungi; Glomeromycota; Glomeromycetes; Archaeosporales; Archaeosporaceae.